ACAGCAGUAGCCACGGUAAUACGAAGGGUGCAAGCGUUACUCGGAAUUACUGGGCGUAAAGCGUGCGUAGGUGGUGGUUUAAGUCCGUUGUGAAAGCCCUGGGCUCAACCUGGGAAUUGCAGUGGAUACUGGGUCACUAGAGUGUGGUAGAGGAUAGUGGAAUUUCCGGUGUAGCAGUGAAAUGCGUAGAGAUCGGAAGGAACAUCUGUGGCGAAGGCGACUAUCUGGGCCAACACUGACACUGAGGCACGAAAGCGUGGGGAGCAAACAGGAUUAGAUACCCCUUAGUCCCUGUCUCUUAUACA
Molecule: ribosomal RNA, 305 nt
Filed under: uncultured bacterium
Lineage: Bacteria
Description: partial 16S ribosomal RNA
Rfam family: Bacterial small subunit ribosomal RNA
Source: RNAcentral